UAUGGCAUUUGCAAGCGUUAAUCGGAAUUACUGGGCGUAAAGCGCACGCAGGCGGUCUGUCAAGUCGGAUGUGAAAUCCCCGGGCUCAACCUGGGAACUGCAUCCGAAACUGGCAAGCUAGAGUCUUGUAGAGGGGGGUAGAAUUCCAGGUGUAGCGGUGAAAUGCGUAGAGAUCUGGAGGAAUACCGGUGGCGGAGGCGGCACCCUGGACAAAGACUGACGCUCAGGUGCGAAAGCGUGGGGAGCAAACAGG
Molecule: unclassified non-coding RNA, 253 nt
Filed under: uncultured Enterobacteriaceae bacterium
Lineage: Bacteria; Pseudomonadati; Pseudomonadota; Gammaproteobacteria; Enterobacterales; Enterobacteriaceae
Description: contains 16S-23S intergenic spacer region
Rfam family: Bacterial small subunit ribosomal RNA
Source: RNAcentral